CCUAAGUUCUGCUUUGUAAUCUUAAAGCUAAGGUUCCAAGCUCUUGAUUUCUCGAGGUUCUUCUCUUUGGCACUUCUACAUGGUCCCCAUAUUGUAUAUUCAGAAUGUUCAUGUGUAGCAAGAAGAUGGCGGCUUUCCCUCAUUCUCCGGGCUUUCUAGCCAGCAUUUGCAAAAGCCGCCGCUGAACCCGGAAGGGUUUCUGUUGUGAUCCAUCCCCCAACUCCCUCCUACACACAGAGCAGUUCGCUCCUGCUAACCACAGCGACAAUCAUAAUAGGAACUACUAGCUGUAUAAAUUUCCUGGGUUUUAUGCUGGUGUCCCAAAGUCACACAUUUCAGUCUCUCCUGCUUGACUUAAUCAGCUCAAGAAGCCAGGAAGAAAGGUCCAGAGGAGGGCCCGCCGUGAGCGAAGGGCGAGGAGGAGAGGAGAGAUCCCCUAGGCGUGGAACUUUUAAAAGGAAACCUAUCAAUCAGGAGAAAACCCACGACAUGGACCCUCAGCGUCAGAACUUCAAGUGAAAACAAACAAACAAAACAAAACAAAACACAUUUGCUCAAUCCUGACCC
Molecule: long non-coding RNA, 567 nt
Organism: Peromyscus eremicus (cactus mouse)
Lineage: Eukaryota; Metazoa; Chordata; Mammalia; Rodentia; Cricetidae
Exons: 3
Source: RefSeq, a predicted model, not a curated record